Molecule: transfer RNA, 82 nt
Filed under: Podospora comata
Lineage: Eukaryota; Fungi; Ascomycota; Sordariomycetes; Sordariales; Podosporaceae
Rfam family: tRNA
About the family: Transfer RNA (tRNA) molecules are approximately 80 nucleotides in length. Their secondary structure includes four short double-helical elements and three loops (D, anti-codon, and T loops).
Source: RNAcentral
UCUUCCGUAGUAUAGUGGUCAGUAUGUGAGCUUGUCAUUCCAACAACCGCUCGAGACCCGGGUUCAAUUCCCGGCGGGAGAG